GAUGAACGCUGGCGGCGUGCCUAAUACAUGCAAGUCGAGCGAACGGACGAGAAGCUUGCUUCUCUGAUGUUAGCGGCGGACGGGUGAGUAACACGUGGAUAACCUACCUAUAAGACUGGGAUAACUUCGGGAAACCGGAGCUAAUACCGGAUAAUAUUUUGAACCGCAUGGUUCAAAAGUGAAAGGCGGUCUUGCUGUCACUUAUAGAUGGAUCCGCGCUGCAUUAGCUAGUUGGUAAGGUAACGGCUUACCAAGGCAACGAUGCGUAGCCGACCUGAGAGGAUGAUCAGCCACACUGGAACUGAGACACGGUCCAGACUCCUACGGGAGGCAGCAGUAGGGAAUAUUCCGCAAUGGGCGAAAGCCUGACGGAGCAACGCCGCGUGAGUGAUGAAGGUCUUCGGAUCGUAAAACUCUGUUAUUAGGGAAGAACAUAUGUGUAAGUAACUGUGCACAUCUUGACGGUACCUAAUCAGAAAGCCACGGCUAACUACGUG
This 497-nucleotide ribosomal RNA is filed under the name uncultured bacterium. Its description in RNAcentral is "partial 16S ribosomal RNA". It matches the Rfam family "Bacterial small subunit ribosomal RNA", at positions 28 to 507 of the family's 1533-position model. The record is from RNAcentral.